Molecule: ribosomal RNA, 250 nt
Filed under: uncultured bacterium
Lineage: Bacteria
Description: partial 16S ribosomal RNA
Rfam family: Bacterial small subunit ribosomal RNA
Source: RNAcentral
GAUGUCGACUAGCCGUUGGGCUCCUUGAGAGCUUGGUGGCGCAGCUAACGCAUUAAGUCGACGCCUGGGGAGUACGGCCGCAAGGUUAAAACUCAAAUGAAUUGACGGGGGCCCGCACAAGCGGUGGAGCAUGUGGUUUAAUUCGAAGCAACGCGAAGAACCUUACCUGGCCUUGACAUCCUGCGAACCUUUCAGAGAUGAGAGGGUGCCUUCGGGAACGCAGAGACAGGUGCUGCAUGGCUGUCGUCAG